GUAUACUGCAAGUCGAGCGCAGGAAGCCGUCUGAACCCUUCGGGGGGACGACGGUGGAAUGAGCGGCGGACGGGUGAGUAACACGUAAAGAACCUGCCCAUAGGUCUGGGAUAACCACGAGAAAUCGGGGCUAAUACCGGAUGUGUCAUCGGACCGCAUGGUCCGCUGAUGAAAGGCGCUCCGGCGUCGCCCAUGGAUGGCUUUGCGGUGCAUUAGCUAGUUGGUGGGGUAACGGCCCACCAAGGCGACGAUGCAUAGCCGACCUGAGAGGGUGAUCGGCCACACUGGGACUGAGACACGGCCCAGACUCCUACGGGAGGCAGCAGUAGGGAAUCUUCCACAAUGGACGAAAGUCUGAUGGAGCAACGCCGCGUGAACGAUGAAGGCUUUCGGGUCGUAAAGUUCUGUUGUAAGGGAAGAACAAGUGCCGCAGGCAAUGGCGGCACCUUGACGGUACCUUGCGAGAAAGCCACGGCUAACUACGUGCCAGCAGCGGG
Molecule: ribosomal RNA, 497 nt
Filed under: Exiguobacterium sp.
Lineage: Bacteria; Bacillati; Bacillota; Bacilli; Caryophanales
Description: bacterial SSU rRNA
Rfam family: Bacterial small subunit ribosomal RNA
Source: RNAcentral